This 496-nucleotide ribosomal RNA is filed under the name uncultured Glomus. RNAcentral's name for it is "SSU rRNA". It matches the Rfam family "Eukaryotic small subunit ribosomal RNA", at positions 569 to 1069 of the family's 1831-position model. The record is from RNAcentral. Lineage: Eukaryota; Fungi; Glomeromycota; Glomeromycetes; Glomerales; Glomeraceae.
AGCAGCCGCGGUAAUUCCAGCUCCAAUAGCGUAUAUUAAAGUUGUUGCAGUUAAAAAGCUCGUAGUUGAACUUCAGGCCUGGCUGGACGGUCCGCCUUCUGGGUGAGUACUGUCUGUGGUCGGGUCCUACCUUCUGGCGAAGCGUCAUAGCCUUCACCGGCCGUGGCGGGGAGCCAGGACUUUUACUGUGAAAAAAUUAGAGUGUUCAAAGCAGGCACGCGCUUGAAUACAUUAGCAUGGAAUAAUGGAAUAGGACAGUGGUUCUAUUUGUUGGUUUCUAGGACCGUUGUAAUGAUUAAUAGGGAUAGUUGGGGGCAUUAGUAUUCAAUUGUCAGAGGUGAAAUUCUUGGAUUUAUUGAAGACUAACUACUGCGAAAGCAUUUGCCAAGGAUGUUUUCAUUAAUCAAGAACGAAAGUUAGGGGAUCGAAGACGAUCAGAUACCGUCGUAGUCUUAACCAUAAACUAUGCCGACUAGGAAUCGGGCGAUGUUGACAA